Molecule: ribosomal RNA, 372 nt
Filed under: uncultured organism
Description: bacterial SSU rRNA
Rfam family: Bacterial small subunit ribosomal RNA
Source: RNAcentral
CGUAGGUGGCGAGCGUUAUCCGGAAUUACUGGGCGUAAAGCGUGUGCAGGCGGGCGGCCAAGUGGUGUAUGAAAUCUCCGGGCUAAACCGGGAGUGGUUAUGCCAGACUGGUCGUCUUGAGUGCGAGAGAGGAGCGUGGAAUUCCGGGUGUAGUGGUGAAAUGCGUAGAGAUCCGGAGGAACCCCAGAGGCGAAGGCGGCGCUCUGGCUCGCAACUGACGCUCAGACACGACAGCAUGGGGAGCGAACGGGAUUAGAAACCCCGGUAGUCCAUGCCGUAAACGAUGCUCACUAGGCGCUGCGGGACUCAACCCCCGCGGUGCCGCAGCUAACGCGAUAAGUGAGCCGCCUGGGGAGUACGGCCGCAAGGCUA